GAUGAACGCUGGCGGCGUGCCUAAUACAUGCAAGUCGAGCGAACAGACGAGGAGCUUGCUCCUCUGACGUUAGCGGCGGACGGGUGAGUAACACGUGGAUAACCUACCUAUAAGACUGGGAUAACUUCGGGAAACCGGAGCUAAUACCGGAUAAUAUAUUGAACCGCAUGGUUCAAUAGUGAAAGACGGUUUUGCUGUCACUUAUAGAUGGAUCCGCGCCGCAUUAGCUAGUUGGUAAGGUAACGGCUUACCAAGGCAACGAUGCGUAGCCGACCUGAGAGGGUGGUCGGCCACACUGGAACUGAGACACGGUACAGACUCCGACGGGAGGCAGCAGUAGGGAAUCUUCCGCAAUGGGCGAAAGCCUGACGGAGCAACGCCGCGUGAGUGAUGAAGGUCUUCGGAUCGUAAAACUCUGUUAUUAGGGAAGAACAAAUGUGUAAGUAACUAUGCACGUCUUGACGGUACCUAAUCAGAAAGCCACGGCUAACUACGUG
RNAcentral lists this ribosomal RNA (497 nucleotides) under uncultured bacterium. RNAcentral describes it as "partial 16S ribosomal RNA". It matches the Rfam family "Bacterial small subunit ribosomal RNA", at positions 28 to 507 of the family's 1533-position model. The record is from RNAcentral.